This 500-nucleotide ribosomal RNA is filed under the name uncultured bacterium. Its description in RNAcentral is "partial 16S ribosomal RNA". It matches the Rfam family "Bacterial small subunit ribosomal RNA", at positions 30 to 523 of the family's 1533-position model. The record is from RNAcentral.
AUUGAACGCUGGCGGCAUGCCUUACACAUGCAAGUCGAACGGCAGCACGGGAGCAAUCCUGGUGGCGAGUGGCGAACGGGCGAGUAAAGUAUCGGAACGUGCCCAGUCGUGGGGGAUAACGUAGUGAAAAUUACGCUAAUACCGCAUACGAUCUAUGGAUGAAAGCGGGGGAUCGCAAGACCUCGCGCGAUUGGAGCGGCCGAUAUCAGAUUAGGUAGCUGGUGGGGUAAAGGCCCACCAAGCCAACGAUCUGUAGCUGGUCUGAGAGGACGACCAGCCACACUGGAACUGAGACACGGACCAGACUCCUACGGGAGGCAGCAGUGGGGAAUUUUGGACAAUGGGCGAAAGCCUGAUCCAGCCAUUCCGCGUGCAGGAUGAAGGCCCUCGGGUUGUAAACUGCUUUUGUACAGAACGAAAAGGUUUCUACUAAUACUAGGAGCUCAUGACGGUACUGUAAGAAUAAGCACCGGCUAACCACGUGCCAGCCGCCGCGGUAA